GAUGAACGCUGGCGGCGUGCCUAAUACAUGCAAGUCGAGCGAACAGACGAGGAGCUUGCUCCUCUGACGUUAGCGGCGGACGGGUGAGUAACACGUGGAUAACCUACCUAUAAGACUGGGAUAACUUCGGGAAACCGGAGCUAAUACCGGAUAAUAUAUUGAACCGCAUGGUUCAAUAGUGAAAGACGGUUUUGCUGUCACUUAUAGAUGGAUCCGCGCCGCAUUAGCUAGUUGGUAAGGUAACGGCUUACCAAGGCAACGAUGCGUAGCCGACCUGAGAGGGUGAUCGGCCACACUGGAACUGAGACACGGUCCAGACUCCUACGGGAGGCAGCAGUAGGGAAUCUUCCGCAAUGGGCGAAAGCUUGACGGAGCAACGCCGCGUGAGUGAUGAAGGUCUUCGGACCGUAAAACUCUGUUAUUAGGGAAGAACAAAUGUGUAAGUAACUAUGCACGUCUUGACGGUACCUAAUCAGAAAGCCCCGGCUAACUACGUG
Molecule: ribosomal RNA, 497 nt
Filed under: uncultured bacterium
Lineage: Bacteria
Description: partial 16S ribosomal RNA
Rfam family: Bacterial small subunit ribosomal RNA
Source: RNAcentral